Molecule: ribosomal RNA, 524 nt
Filed under: uncultured bacterium
Lineage: Bacteria
Description: partial 16S ribosomal RNA
Rfam family: Bacterial small subunit ribosomal RNA
Source: RNAcentral
GACGAACGCUGGCGGCGUGCCUAAUACAUGCAAGUCGAGCGCAGGAAAUCGACGGAACCCUUCGGGGGGAAGUCGACGGAAUGAGCGGCGGACGGGUGAGUAACACGUAAAGAACCUGCCCUCAGGGCUGGGAUAACCACGAGAAAUCGGGGCUAAUACCGGAUGGGUCAUCGGACCGCAUGGCCCGAGGAUGAAAGGCGCUUCGGCGUCGCCGGGGGAUGCCUUUGAGGUGCAUUAGCUGGUUGGUGGGGUAAUGGCCCAACAAGGCGACGAUGCAUAGCCGACCUGAGAGGGUGAUCGGCCACACUGGGACUGAGACACGGCCCAGACUCCUACGGGAGGCAGCAGUAGGGAAUCUUCCACAAUGGACGAAGGUCUGAUGGAGCAACGCCGCGUGAACGAUGAAGGCCUUCGGGUCGUAAAGUUCUGUUGUAAGGGAAGAACAAGUGCCGCAGGCAAUGGCGGCACCUUGACGGUACCUUGCGAGAAAGCCACGGCUAACUACGUGCCAGCCGCCGCCGUAA